Long non-coding RNA from Sinocyclocheilus grahami, 338 nucleotides. RefSeq lists it as uncharacterized. NCBI's taxonomy places the organism in Eukaryota, Metazoa, Chordata, Actinopteri, Cypriniformes, Cyprinidae. The transcript has 3 exons. The record is from RefSeq and is a predicted model, not a curated record.
UCUUGUGCUAAUGUUUGACUUUUUCCACACAGACCUGCUCCUCCCACUCCUGGUCAGACCAAUGGAAUCACAGAGCAACUGGUCGGCCGCUUCCAGGAGGCUGUACAGGUGAGUCGAGAUGAGAACCAGAACUACAGAGAGUACACCAUCUCCAGCCCAGCCUCUCUGUCACCUGGCCCAUAUUCACCUGAGCCACCAUCCAGCCUCGACCGCAAAGGGGGCAGAAUCACACCCACCAGUAAGAGCCUCCAGCUCCAUUCCUGGUCUUCAGAGGAGAAGAGCAUACAGAGUCACAGACUGUCCCGACCCCUCUCUCAGGUAGAGUCGCUCUCUCAACU